Molecule: ribosomal RNA, 119 nt
Filed under: Pteropus alecto (black flying fox)
Lineage: Eukaryota; Metazoa; Chordata; Mammalia; Chiroptera; Pteropodidae
Source: RNAcentral
AACUCUGGCCAUGCCACCCUGAACACGCCCGAUCCUGUCUGAUCUCGGAAGCUAAACAGGGUCGGGUCUGGUUAGUACUUGGAUGGGAGACCACCUAGGAAGACCAGGUGCUGUAGGCA